This 73-nucleotide transfer RNA is filed under the name Anaerolineaceae bacterium. RNAcentral's name for it is "tRNA-Thr". It matches the Rfam family "tRNA". Rfam says of the family: Transfer RNA (tRNA) molecules are approximately 80 nucleotides in length. Their secondary structure includes four short double-helical elements and three loops (D, anti-codon, and T loops). Further hydrogen bonds mediate the characteristic L-shaped molecular structure. tRNAs have two regions of fundamental functional importance: the anti-codon, which is responsible for specific mRNA codon recognition, and the 3' end, to which the tRNAs corresponding amino acid is attached (by aminoacyl-tRNA synthetases). tRNAs cope with the degeneracy of the genetic code in two manners: having more than one tRNA (with a specific anti-codon) for a particular amino acid; and 'wobble' base-pairing, i.e. permitting non-standard base-pairing at the 3rd anti-codon position. The record is from RNAcentral. Lineage: Bacteria; Bacillati; Chloroflexota; Anaerolineae; Anaerolineales; Anaerolineaceae.
GCCCUUAUAGCUCAGCUGGUAGAGCGCAUUCUUGGUAAGAAUGAGGUCAUCGGUUCAAAUCCGAUUGAGGGCU